CUACCCUUGACAUGGUCGGAACCCUGCUGAAAGGUGGGGGUGCUCGAAAGAGAACCGAUACACAGGUGCUGCAUGGCUGUCGUCAGCUCGUGUCGUGAGAUGUUGGGUUAAGUCCCGCAACGAGCGCAACCCUUGUCCUUAGUUGCUACGCAAGAGCACUCUAAGGAGACUGUCGGUGACAAACCGGAGGAAGGUGGGGAUGACGUCAAGUCCUCAUGGCCCUUAUGGGUAGGGCUUCACACGUCAUACAAUGGUCGGAACAGAGGGCUGCCAACCCGUGAGGGGGAGCUAAUCCCAGAAAACCGAUCGUAGUCCGGAUCGUAGUCUGCAACUCGACUACGUGAAGCUGGAAUCGCUAGUAAUCGCGGAUCAGCAUGCCGCGGUGAAUACGUUCCC
This 396-nucleotide ribosomal RNA is filed under the name uncultured Burkholderia sp. RNAcentral describes it as "bacterial SSU rRNA". It matches the Rfam family "Bacterial small subunit ribosomal RNA", at positions 975 to 1375 of the family's 1533-position model. The record is from RNAcentral. Lineage: Bacteria; Pseudomonadati; Pseudomonadota; Betaproteobacteria; Burkholderiales; Burkholderiaceae.